CACGUAGGGGGCAAGCGUUGUCCGGAUUUAUUGGGCGUAAAGAGCUCGUAGGUGGCUCGGUAAGUCGGGUGUUAAACCCCCAGGCUCAACCUGGGGACGCCACUCGAUACUGCUGUGGCUAGAGUCCGGUAGGGGAGCGUGGAAUUCCUGGUGUAGCGGUGAAAUGCGCAGAUAUCAGGAGGAACACCAGCGGCGAAGGCGGCGCUCUGGGCCGGUACUGACACUGAGGAGCGAAAGCGUGGGUAGCAAACAGG
Molecule: ribosomal RNA, 254 nt
Filed under: uncultured bacterium
Lineage: Bacteria
Description: partial 16S ribosomal RNA
Rfam family: Bacterial small subunit ribosomal RNA
Source: RNAcentral